Brienomyrus brachyistius is the source of this 166-nucleotide long non-coding RNA. RefSeq lists it as uncharacterized. The record is from RefSeq and is a predicted model, not a curated record. Lineage: Eukaryota; Metazoa; Chordata; Actinopteri; Osteoglossiformes; Mormyridae. The transcript has 3 exons.
ACCUGCUCCUGAAGGACAUCCCAAACAUUUUCUACCGGCGCUCCCUGGACCUGACCUCAGUAAUUUACAAGAGGUGCAUGCAGUGGCUCAGACGGUGGAGAGCAAGAUGGGAUAUUUGGGUCAGACGAGAAUCAACCCGGGACGUGCGGCACAGGGACAAAAAACC